Molecule: long non-coding RNA, 4495 nt
Organism: Misgurnus anguillicaudatus (oriental weatherfish)
Lineage: Eukaryota; Metazoa; Chordata; Actinopteri; Cypriniformes; Cobitidae
Source: RefSeq, a predicted model, not a curated record
AAAAAACGAUAUCUACCAAAAGGAGUAUUAAAAGUACAUAGUUUAGAGCUCUCUUGCCAAAAUCCAUGAUUAGCAUAGAGUACUGAAAAUAUUUUUGCGUUUGGCAUUUCAGAUAUUAUUUCUUCAACUGUGCGUAACACGUAGUGUUCUCUCUUUAUGGCUUUAUUAAAGGACAAGUUCGGUAUUUUACACUUAAAGCCCUGUUUUCAGAUUGUUUAUGGUGAAAUAGAAUGGUUUUGACAGAAAUUUCGACAUAUGCGGCUGCCCUGAGAAUUUGCGGGUGUUUGUGUUUCGCCUCACACCUCUACAAUGGGUUUAAUGGUGCACUGGAACAAUCCUUCCUAAAAUACAUUAAACUUUCGUUUACAAAGACGUGAAACUCACCGAGUGGUCAGGGGUGUUCACUGAUAUGCUCACACAAAAAUCGCUGCAAAAGAUGCUUUCCAACAGCUGUUUUAGCAUUCGUUGUUAACUUGUGGACCUUUUUUUCCAAACGCCUCACACCCGUACAUUCUUCCGCUUAGAGCUUGAAUAAUAGACACUCCAGCCCAGUUGGUGGCGAUAAUCCACCUUUGCCAAUUGCAAGAAUACAAACAACGUUCCUGGCGGCGGAGUAAUACCGUACCUCACAGCACAUCUAAUACGAGUCAAUGGGCUUGGACAAAAUCUACGAUAAAACCUGUUUUACCCAUUUGCGCCUGAUGCUGCGUGACGCAACAUUACAUCUACCGCCGGUUACUUUUAUUUCAUGUUUCUAAAGUGCUACAGAGGCUUAGAUAUUACGUUUUUAGUAGACGUUGACAUAGUAGUAUUACUAGACGUAGUAUUUUUUUCACCAUACUGUUAACGCAAUCAGUGGGCUCGGUUUGCUUCACGAUAACUCCAAGAUCCUCCAUCCUUUUCAGUUCCAUUUAUACCCUUUCCUUUAGUGCUUCAGGUAUUUUCUGUGGUGCAUGAAUGACUGGAGCAACAUCUGGGUUUAGCUGUAUAUUGUGCAGUCCUGAUACACAUCCUAACCCAGAAAACUCUUUGUAUUCACUCAGUAUGUCACUUUGAUCCUUAUUCUCUACUUUGUAAACUCUUUUAAUCAGUCCAUUUUGAGCAUGCUUCUCUGCCUAGAACAGCUGGUGAGUUUUCAUUUACUAUUUGGAAUUCUAGCCCAAACUCAUUCUCUUUGAAAUCACAUUUAAGCAUGGCCUUAACCUUUUCGUGUGGCCAGAAUAAGUAACCUGCAGUUCGACUUCGUCAACAGUGUGGCCUUGUUAGUGAUUUUUUCAAAGUCUUUAUAUGACAACAUGUUACACUCAGCUCCCGUGUCUAGCUUAAAGGUAAGUAUACAGUUGUUUAUUUUGAAUUCUUGAGUUAAUUUCUCAUUUUCAGCUGUAUAGACAGUAUUCAUUUGUACCUCCUGUUCCUUAGCUGUUUGCUCUUGUUGUCUAAUCUCAAUGGUACCCAUAAACAUUUCUUCUUGUCCUAUGUCGUGAACGUUCUUCUCAAACUUUCUAGACAUGCCUUUUUGUUUUGGCGUUUUGCACAUGCGGCUAAAAUGGUUCUUCUGUGAGGACUCAUUACAUAUUUUGCCAUAUGCUGGGCAUUUCCUGUGCUUAUCCACAUCUCAUGCAUUUGUCUUUCUCUUUUCCUUUCUGCCUAACCUUAGCUUGUCUGACAGUUGAUUUUGUUUGUCGUAAUUUUAUUCGCAACUACUUCUGCUUCUUCUAACACUUUCAUGUGGUUUUGUGUUACUUAGUUUAUGGCUAACGUUAGUUCACAGAGUUAAAGAUAUGAUCAGAUUUUCUCCAGAGGUUAGAUAUAAACAUCUCCAUCGUGGAUCGUCGACUGCAGAUAAUAUUUUUUUGUUUGGAGUGUGAGAGCCAGAGAUGGAACGAUCAGUAAAGCUGCUUCUCAGAUACAGUAAGUUGCAAAAGUUUGUUUUGUUAUGUUGAUCAUGUAUUUACAGUUUUUUUUUGUUUCAUGUUGUUUUUUGAUUAUAAAAAUAACAGUGGAGAUGACUAAGGCAUGAGUUUUACAUGGGUUCAUUUGUCUAUGACAUGUUAUGUAAAUGCAUUUUUAUGAAUCUGAUGGAUAAAAUAUAUAAAAACUAAAAACAAGAAAAUAAGAUAAGUGGGGGAAAAUAUGAGUAUUACCAGCAAUGCUGACCAUUAUAAUCAUAAGUUAUUUGGCAAACAUAAGGCAUUUGUAAUUAUAAAGUGUGUGUGCCAACGUGUGUGUUUUCUCCUUGUGAUGUAAAACAGGCCUUCAACUGACACAGAUAAGCAAGGACUGGAAUCUGGAGUCCAUUCCCGAGCGACCACAUUCAACAUAACAAGUAUUUUGUUAUAAUGUACAAAUAUUUUUUUCUGAAAUAGUUUUGUGCUUCGGUGGGCAGAUAAGUUUUGAAUUGAUAGCCAUGUAGUAUGUAGUGCUCUUUCUUAUUUUGUUAUUUUGGAAUCUCCUGGUGCACUUAAAAAAAGCUCACACACUGCAAAAAAUAUAAAUAUUAUUUAUAAUGACUUAUUUUCUUGGGUUGUUUUGCUCAUCAAGAAAAAGCAUUCUAAUUUAAGAAUAUUUAGAUAUUUUUACUGAAAACAAGACCAAAAUACUAAGAUUUCUUUUCUUGAAAAUAAUUUUUUCCAGUGCAGAAACUAAAUUUUUUGGAGUAUCAUUCUUAAAUUUGAAUCAUAAGACAUUCACUUUACCUUUAUGGUGACCCCGGGUGUUUGACAUGACAAUUUCAUAUAUUUGUGAAUGUUUUUCAAAGAAAUCGAAAGUCAUUUAUGUAUAUUUUACCUUGUUUUACUCUGUUCCUAUAGACGCUUUCAUCGGACACAUCCAGUUUCGUUUUUUUAAUGGUCUGGCUAGUUGCUAAACUGAUCUCUUGAACAAAUGCCUUGUCAAAAAUAACAAAUGUUUUGGUUUCCUAGGUGAUCUAUGUGUUGUUUUUUUGCUUGUUAUACAAAUAAACACCGUUUAAAGAACUUUGUUGUUAUUUAUUCUUAGCGGAGUUUACCGGAAGUUACAUGCCGACCACGACAGCCGCAUGUUUAUGUAGUUACAGCUGAAACCGUCUCUCUGAGGUGUUGGGCAAAAAUAUGUCACGUGUCUAGUUUCAAACAAGACUAGAAUUAUGAAUAUAGUCCAUAGGCUUUAAGAGCUGCAGACAUUUUAUUUUGGGUAUGUUGAUUUUCAGAAAAUGCUCAAAAAUGAAAGUGCCGGCUAACAGGUUCGUAUUUGUUAAACUUGCAUUAACACAUUCACUGUCAUGUAUCUGCAAACUUUCUUUCUUGCUUUGACAGCAGGAGAGAAACACUAUAUUACUUGCUUGAUAUUUGUGCAUGAUUAUUAUUACUAUCACUGAACUACCAUUGCAUGAAGGAUGACUGUAUGUACUGCUAUGAGACACAUGUAUUACAAUUUUGAUAUUGUAAAUCUAUUAAAAAAAGAAAAUGUAAUAAACAAAGAACUAGCUUGACCAGUCAGUAAAACCAGAUGUAUGCAGCUUUGCCAGGCUUGGAGGGCCAGCGUAAACCAGCUGAGACCAUCUUACAAGCUUUCAGCCUGGUAAAGCUGGUUUUUUCGAUCUGAACAGCUAAAAGUGGGCCCUAAAAACCUCUAAAACCAGUCUGCUACACCAGCUAAAACCAAGCUGGGAGACCAGACCAGUCAACUAGCUUAGGUCCACGUGCUCAUCUCCACUCAAACCCUUGUAGAGAAAUGAAACAGUGACUGCAUGUUUGAUCUACAGUCGCCACCUGGUGGUGAUAAAAAUGAAUAGCAUUAACAGAAAGUGUGACUUCAACAUGUUUUUGGUGGUAUAUUAUUUAGCUUUAAGGUAAAUUUAACAGUGAAUGAAGAUGUUUCUUAAACUGUGUUUAGAUGUAGUUCAUAAAGUUCAGAGUAUCAGCAAGUUUGAGAGAUUUCAACAUACAAUCUAUAAUGUAAAAUUAUUGAUACCUUUAAUAAGGUAACAUUUUUAAUAAGGUCUAUCUCUAUUUGUCUGAAAAAAAAAGACAAACCAAAGCUCGGUUCUUAGAAGGUUAACCUUUAGGCUUUAUGUUAUCUUACCAAAGUUAGGAGAUUGUUGCAUAAAAUUGGUUUUGGGGCAGGAAAAAUAAUUGUGGUAGUGGAAACAUUUUUUAAGAUCUUUUCCUCUCAUCUCAUACAGUAUUUUGUCCAUGACCCUUAGUCUCUGUGGUGGUUUUUCAUCACUCAACAUGUCAAAUUUUCUUUAAUGUGUUUAGGAAUUAAUAUUAAGUAGUGUUUAGUGAAUUUAACCCUGCAGUAAACCCAGCAAUAUGUAACUCUGCUGAUGCUUUAACUGCUGUAAGGGAUGAGGGUUUAUAUUUAACUUUAUGUCUGUUUUUGACUGUCUGCCAGUGUUUAACUAUUUGAUAUGUGUGAAGGAUUUUGAGCAAUGAAAAAACUUCAUUUGUGUAUCAUGCAUUAAAAUAUAUGACAUUUGAUGCCUUUUGAUGAUUUAAAUAAAAUGUCCAUUCAA